This is a long non-coding RNA of Apodemus sylvaticus (European woodmouse), 1921 nucleotides long. RefSeq lists it as uncharacterized. The record is from RefSeq and is a predicted model, not a curated record. The transcript is spliced from 3 exons. Lineage: Eukaryota; Metazoa; Chordata; Mammalia; Rodentia; Muridae.
UCAUGUUCUCUUCAGGGCUACAUCAACACCUGCAGGAUGCUGCUGGGUAGGUCAGGAUGCUGUGCUGCAGUGAGGGAUGCAGCAGGUCAGGAUGCUGUGCUGCAGUGAGGGAUGCAGCAGGUCAGGAUGCUGUGCUGCAGUGAGGGAUGCAGCAGGUCAGGAUGCUGUGCUGCAGUGAGGGAUGCAGCAGGUCAGGAUGCUGUGCUGCAGUGAGGGAUGCAGCAGGUCAGGAUGCUGUGCUUCAAUGAGGGAUGCAGCAGCCCAGGAUGUUAUUUAUGAUGCAGUGAGGGAUGCAUCAGACCAGGAUGCUGUGAUGCAGUGAGGGAUGCAACAGGCUAGGAUUCUGUGAUACAGUGAGGGAUGCAACAGGUCAGGAUACUGUGCUGCAGUGAGGGAUGCAGCAGGCCAAGAUGCUGUGCUGCAGUGAGGGAUGCAGCAGGCCAGGAUGCUGUGAUGCAGUAAGAAAUGCAGCAGGCCAGGAUGCUGUGAUACAGUGAGGGAUGCAACAGGCCAAGAUGCCGUGCUGCAGUGAGGGAUGCAGCAGGCCAAGAUGCCGUGCUGCAGUGAGGGAUGCAGCAGGCCAGGAUGCUGUGAUGCAGUAAGAAAUGCAGCAGGCCAGGACGCUGUGAUGCAGUGAGAAAUGCAGCAGACCAGGACGCUGUGCUGCAGUGAGAGAGGCAGCGGGCUAGGAUGCUGUGCUGCAGUGAGGGAUGCAGCGGGCUAGGAUGCUGUGCUGCAGUGAGGGAUGCAGCAGGUCAGGAUGCUGUGCUGCAGUGAGGGAUGCAGCAGGUCAGGAUGCUGUGCUGCAGUGAGGGAUGCAGCAGGUCAGGAUGCUGUGCUGCAGUGAGGGAUGCAGCAGGCUAGGAUGCUGUGCUGCAGUGAGGGAUGCAGCAGGCUAGGAUGCUGUGCUACAGUGAGGGAUGCAGCAGCCCAGGAUGCUGUGAUGCAGUGAGGGAUGCAGCAGACCAGGAUGCUGUGAUGCAGUGAGGGAUGCAGCAGGCUAGGAUGCUGUGCUGCAGUGAGGGAUGCAGCAGCCCAGGAUGCUGUGCUGCAGUGAGGGAUGCAGCAGGUCAGGAUGCUGUGCUACAGUGAGGGAUGCAGCAGCCCAGUAUGUUUGUGAUGCAGUGAUGGAUGCAGCAGGUCAGGAUGCUGUGCUACAGUGAGGGAUGCAGCAGGCCAGGAUGCUGUGCUGCAGUGAGGGAUGCAGCAGGCCAGGAUGCUGUGCUGCAGUGAGGGAUGCAGCAGGCUAGGAUGCUGUGCUGCAGUGAGGGAUGCAGCAGGCUAGGAUGCUGUGCUGCAGUGAGGGAUGCAGCAGGUCAGGAUGCUGUGCUACAGUGAGGGAUGCAGCAGCCCAGUAUGUUUGUGAUGCAGUGAUGGAUGCAGCAGGCCAGGAUGCUGUGCUACAGUGAUGGAUGCAGCAGCCCAGGAUGCUGUGCUACAGUGAGGGAUGCAGCAGCCCAGGAUGCUGUGCUGCAGUGAAGGAUACAGCAGGCCAGGAUGCUGUGCUGCAGUGAGGGAUGCAGCAGGUCAAGAUGCUGUGCUACAGUGAGGGAUACAGCAGGCCAGGAUGCUGUGCUGCAAUGAGGGAUACAGCAGGCCAGGAUGCUGUGCUGCAGUGAGGGAUGCAGCAGGUCAGGAUGCUGUGCUGCAGUGAGGGAUGCAGCAGGCCGGGAUGCUGUGAUGCAGUGGGGAAUGCAGUAGCCUAGGAUGCUAUCUAUGAUGCAGUGAGGGAUGCAGCAGGCCAGGAUGCUGUGCUGCAGUGGGGGAUGCAGCAGGCCAGGAUGCUGUGCUACAGUGGGGGAUGCAGCAGGCCAGGAUACUGUGCUACAGUGGGGAAUGCAGUAGCCUAGGAUGCUAUCUAUGAUGCAGUGAGGGAUGCAGCAGGCCAGGAUGCUGUGAUGCAUCCUGUGCUCUGCCCCAU